GACGAACGCUGGCGGCGUGCUUAACACAUGCAAGUCGAACGGUGAACUCCGCUUGCGGGGGGAUCAGUGGCGAACGGGUGGGUAACACGUGGGCAACCUGCCCUCAGCUCUGGGAUAACUCCAAGAAAUUGGGGCUAAUACUGGAUAUGACUGCUGACCGCAUGGUCUGGUGGUGGAAAGAUUUAUCGGCUGGGGAUGGGCCCGCGGCCUAUCAGCUUGUUGGUGGGGUAGUGGCCUACCAAGGCGACGACGGGUAGCCGGCCUGAGAGGGUGACCGGCCACACUGGGACUGAGACACGGCCCAGACUCCUACGGGAGGCAGCAGUGGGGAAUAUUGCGCAAUGGGCGGAAGCCUGACGCAGCGACGCCGCGUGGGGGAUGACGGCCUUCGGGUUGUAAACCUCUUUCACCCAUGACGAAGCGUAAGUGACGGUAGUGGGAGAAGAAGCACCGGCCAACUACGUGCCAGCAGCCGCGGUAAUACGUAGGGUGCAAGCGUUGUCCGGAAUUAUUGGGCGUAAAGAGCUCGUAGGCGGUUUGUUGCGUCGGCUGUGAAAACCUGAGGCUCAACCUCAGGCCUGCAGUCGAUACGAGCAGACUAGAGUGUUGCAGGGGAGACUGGAAUUCCUGGUGUAGCGGUGAAAUGCGCAGAUAUCAGGAGGAACACCGGUGGCGAAGGCGGGUCUCUGGGCAGCAACUGACGCUGAGGAGCGAAAGCGUGGGGAGCGAACAGGAUUAGAUACCCUGGUAGUCCACGCCGUAAACGUUGGGCGCUAGGUGUGGGGCUCAUUCCACGAGUUCCGUGCCGCAGCUAACGCAUUAAGCGCCCCGCCUGGGGAGUACGGCCGCAGGGCUAAAACUCAAAGGAAUUGACGGGGGCCCGCACAAGCGGCGGAGCAUGUUGCUUAAUUCGAUGCAACGCGAAGAACCUUACCUAGGCUUGACAUGCACGGAAAUCCUCCAGAGAUGGUGGGUCCGCAAGGGUCGUGCACAGGUGGUGCAUGGUUGUCGUCAGCUCGUGUCGUGAGAUGUUGGGUUAAGUCCCGCAACGAGCGCAACCCUCGUUCUAUGUUGCCAGCACGUGAUGGUGGGGACUCAUAGGAGACUGCCGGGGUCAACUCGGAGGAAGGUGGGGAUGACGUCAAAUCAUCAUGCCCCUUAUGUCUAGGGCUGCAAACAUGCUACAAUGGCCGGUACAAAGGGCUGCGAUACCGUGAGGUGGAGCGAAUCCCAAAAAGCCGGUCUCAGUUCGGAUUGGGGUCUGCAACUCGACCCCAUGAAGUUGGAGUCGCUAGUAAUCGCAGAUCAGCAACGCUGCGGUGAAAACGUUCCCGGGCCU
Molecule: ribosomal RNA, 1339 nt
Filed under: uncultured bacterium
Lineage: Bacteria
Description: bacterial SSU rRNA
Rfam family: Bacterial small subunit ribosomal RNA
Source: RNAcentral